UACGAAGGGUGCAAGCGUUAAUCGGAAUUACUGGGCGUAAAGCGUGCGCAGGCGGUUUUGUAAGUCAGAUGUGAAAUCCCCGGGCUUAACCUGGGAACUGCGUUUGAAACUACAAGGCUAGAGUGUGGCAGAGGGGGGUGGAAUUCCACGUGUAGCAGUGAAAUGCGUAGAGAUGUGGAGGAACACCGAUGGCGAAGGCAGCCCCCUGGGUUAACACUGACGCUCAGGCACGAAAGCGUGGGGAGCAAACAGG
This 253-nucleotide ribosomal RNA is filed under the name uncultured bacterium. RNAcentral describes it as "partial 16S ribosomal RNA". It matches the Rfam family "Bacterial small subunit ribosomal RNA", at positions 524 to 776 of the family's 1533-position model. The record is from RNAcentral.